UUUUGAGUCUUUGUUAUUGAAGUUAAAAUAUGAGCGGUUCCUAAGUGACGUGCAUGAUGUCUAUCUUCCAAUUACUUUGCUUUAGGAGUCAAUGGGUUCUUCAUAAAAGUGGAUGGUUGGUAACAUCAUUAAGUGUCUUUAAUGAAUCAGACUUUGUAUUUUUAUUGAAUCAGAAUUUAUAUUGUUAAUUGGAUAACUAUUUGGCC
RNAcentral lists this long non-coding RNA (206 nucleotides) under Prunus persica (peach). RNAcentral describes it as "long non-coding RNA (PPER_LNC006747)". The record is from RNAcentral. Lineage: Eukaryota; Viridiplantae; Streptophyta; Magnoliopsida; Rosales; Rosaceae.